AAUGGCUGCAGUAAUAUAACUGUACAAAGGUAGCAUAAUCAUUAGUUUUUUAAUUAAAAGCUUGUAUGAAAGGUUGGACGAAGUAAAAUCUGUCUCUUUUUAAUAUAAUUAGAAUUUAAUUUUUAAGUAAAAAAGCUUAAAUUUAUAUAAAAGACGAGAAGACCCUAUAGAGUUUAAUAAUUAAUUUUAAAUAAUUAAUUUAGAUUUAUUUAUUUUAUUUAUUAUAAAAUUAUUUUAUUGGGGUAAUAAAAAGAUUAAUAUAAUUCUUUUUUUUUAUUACAUUAAUUUAUGAAUUAAAUGAUCCAUUUUUAUGAUUAAAAGAUUAAAUUACCUUAGGGAUAACAGCGUAAUUUUUUUAAAGAGUUCAUAUCGAUAAAAAAGUUUGCGACCUCGAUGUUGGAUUAAAGAUUAGUUUAGGUGUAGAAUUUUAAAUUUUUGGUCUGUUCGACCAUUAAAUCUUUACAUGAUCUGAGUUCAAACCGGUGUAAGCCAGGUUGGUUUCUAUCUUUAUAGAAUUUUUAUAUUUUAGUACGAAAGGACCAAAUAUUUAAUAUAUGAAUAUUUAAUAUUUUGAAUAU
This 578-nucleotide ribosomal RNA is filed under the name Duvalius raymondi. RNAcentral's name for it is "partial 16S ribosomal RNA". The stretch from base 338 to 496 matches the Rfam family "Bacterial large subunit ribosomal RNA", at positions 2473 to 2632 of the family's 2925-position model. The record is from RNAcentral. Lineage: Eukaryota; Metazoa; Arthropoda; Insecta; Coleoptera; Carabidae.